This 274-nucleotide ribosomal RNA is filed under the name uncultured bacterium. Its description in RNAcentral is "partial 16S ribosomal RNA". It matches the Rfam family "Bacterial small subunit ribosomal RNA", at positions 523 to 796 of the family's 1533-position model. The record is from RNAcentral.
AUACGGAGGGUGCAAGCGUUAAUCGGAAUUACUGGGCGUAAAGCGCGCGUAGGUGGUCUGUUAUGUCAGAUGUGAAAGUCCACGGCUCAACCGUGGAAGUGCAUUUGAAACUGGCAGACUUGAGUACUGGAGGGGGUAGUGGAAUUCCCGGUGUAGAGGUGAAAUUCGUAGAUAUCGGGAGGAAUACCGGUGGCGAAGGCGACUACCUGGCCAGAUACUGACACUGAGGUGCGAAAGCGUGGGGAGCGGACAGGAUUAGAAACCCGAGUAGUCC